Molecule: ribosomal RNA, 1370 nt
Filed under: uncultured bacterium
Lineage: Bacteria
Description: bacterial SSU rRNA
Rfam family: Bacterial small subunit ribosomal RNA
Source: RNAcentral
AGAGUUUGAUCCUGGCUCAGAACGAACGCUGGCGGCGUGGAUAAGACAUGCAAGUCGAACGAGAGAAUUGCUAGCUUGCUAAUAAUUCUCUAGUGGCGCACGGGUGAGUAACACGUGAGUAACCUGCCCCCGAGAGCGGGAUAGCCCUGGGAAACUGGGAUUAAUACCGCAUAGUAUCGAAAGAUUAAAGCAGCAAUGCGCUUGGGGAUGGGCUCGCGGCCUAUUAGUUAGUUGGUGAGGUAACGGCUCACCAAGGCGAUGACGGGUAGCCGGUCUGAGAGGAUGUCCGGCCACACUGGAACUGAGACACGGUCCAGACACCUACGGGUGGCAGCAGUCGAGAAUCAUUCACAAUGGGGGAAACCCUGAUGGUGUGACGCCGCGUGGGGGAAUGAAGGUCUUCGGAUUGUAAACCCCUGUCAUGUGGGAGCAAAUUAAAAAGAUAGUACCACAAGAGGAAGAGACGGCUAACUCUGUGCCAGCAGCCGCGGUAAUACAGAGGUCUCAAGCGUUGUUCGGAAUCACUGGGCGUAAAGCGUGCGUAGGCUGUUUCGUAAGUCGUGUGUGAAAGGCGCGGGCUCAACCCGCGGACGGCACAUGAUACUGCGAGACUAGAGUAAUGGAGGGGGAACCGGAAUUCUCGGUGUAGCAGUGAAAUGCGUAGAUAUCGAGAGGAACACUCGUGGCGAAGGCGGGUUCCUGGACAUUAACUGACGCUGAGGCACGAAGGCCAGGGGAGCGAAAGGGAUUAGAUACCCCUGUAGUCCUGGCAGUAAACGGUGCACGCUUGGUGUGCGGGGAAUCGACCCCCUGCGUGCCGGAGCUAACGCGUUAAGCGUGCCGCCUGGGGAGUACGGUCGCAAGAUUAAAACUCAAAGAAAUUGACGGGGACCCGCACAAGCGGUGGAGUAUGUGGCUUAAUUCGAUGCAACGCGAAGAACCUUACCUGGGCUUGACAUGUAAUGAACAACAUGUGAAAGCAUGCGACUCUUCGGAGGCGUUACACAGGUGCUGCAUGGCCGUCGUCAGCUCGUGUCGUGAGAUGUUUGGUUAAGUCCAGCAACGAGCGCAACCCCUGUUGCCAGUUACCAGCACGUGAAGGUGGGGACUCUGGCGAGACUGCCCAGAUCAACUGGGAGGAAGGUGGGGACGACGUCAGGUCAGUAUGGCCCUUAUGCCCAGGGCUGCACACGUACUACAAUGCCCAGUACAGAGGGGGCCGAAGCCGCGAGGCGGAGGAAAUCCUGAAAACUGGGCCCAGUUCGGACUGUAGGCUGCAACCCGCCUACACGAAGCCGGAAUCGCUAGUAAUGGCGCAUCAGCUACGGCGCCGUGAAUACGUUCCCGGGUCUUGCACAAAGCGCCCGUCA